Molecule: long non-coding RNA, 1073 nt
Organism: Cyprinus carpio (common carp)
Lineage: Eukaryota; Metazoa; Chordata; Actinopteri; Cypriniformes; Cyprinidae
Source: Ensembl
UCUCCCAACAUUCAAAGGCUAUACCCACAAAAUUUACCAUUCCUGCAAUAUAUAUUACAGAUGUGGACAGCACACCUCAAAACAGUACAGAAUCAGAACACACUGUAGAUGCUGUUAAAAUCAAAACUCAAGCGAAUGCAGUAACAUCUAUUUUGACAAACAGCAACACUGUCAGUCAAAUAAGUAAUAUAUCUGAAUGCACAGACACCACGAACAAAACCACAGCUGUUUUGGAAUCUGAAGGUCUGCGUGAUGAAAAGUUUGAUCUUUCCCAUUGUUCACAUCCCUCUGAAAUCAACAAGCCUGAUCAACAGCUACUAAGUCAAGAAAACCUGAUUCAAGGACCUGAAUCAUCAAGUCAUUGUGUCACUGAGAAUGUUGCAUCAGACGUAAUUAGAUUAAAAGAGGUCACUAUGCAACGUCACAAUGCUGACAAAAGUAUAAAGGAAAACAAAGCUGACUUAACUGAAAUUAGUCAUUUUACAAAAACAGAUCUUAAUCUGAAAAAGGAUUCAGACUUAAUAAAACAAUUGAAGUUGGCUGCAUUGGACCUUGAGAGGUGAAAUCAAAGCUCCACCAGAGCCAAGAGAAAUGCUGCACCACAUAUAAAUGCGAAUGAUGGUGAGGAAGUAAAUUCUGCAGUGAUACAGCAUGCUACCUGUAAGUUAACAAUUCCACUGAAGACUACAGACAAGGUCUUCAACACCACUGCUGCCCACAGUGAGCUUAAGACCGAUCAAAAGAAUACAUUCCCCAGGACUACAAUAGAGAAGAGUGAAACUGGAAUGCCCGUAUGUCUGGAAGAAGCAAACAGAGAUUCACAUCAGGGGGACAAAUUAUCUUUGAAAACACAACCUGCAUCUCCAUUACAAUCAGUCAGUAACUCACAAUCGAAGACUUCAUUGGAAACACACUUCCCUCAUCUUACCCGGAGGAUUGUCCAGGAUGACCUCACCAAACCUACAGGGAAUAAGAAUGUUAAGCUCAAAUCAACAGAGAAAAACAAAGAAAAGCAAUUCAAAGUUCCUCAUGUCACCCAUAAAAUCCGACCAGAGGUGUUUGAUGCUUCUUGA